UCAAACUUGGUCAUUUAGAGGAAGUAAAAGUCGUAACAAGGUUUCCGUAGGUAUGUAUCAAUCGAACGCUGUUCCUUCUUCUCCGGGCCUCUGCUAACGUGAAAUUUUCUAGGUGAACCUGCGGAAGGAUCAUUAUCGAGUUAGGGUCUUUUCAGGCCCGACCUCCCAACCCUAUGUUAACUAAACCGAUGUUGCUUCGGCGGGCCCGUCUCACGACCGCCGGGGGACCGUAAGAAGUCCUCUGGCCCGCGCCCGCCGGUGGCCUAAACUUGACAAAUUCUGGUUGAAUCGUGUCAUUGUCUGAGUACCAUUCUUCAUUAAAAGCAAAACUUUCAACAACGGAUCUCUUGGUUCUGGCAUCGAUGAAGAACGCAGC
Molecule: unclassified non-coding RNA, 376 nt
Filed under: uncultured fungus
Lineage: Eukaryota; Fungi
Description: partial contains small subunit ribosomal RNA, internal transcribed spacer 1, and 5.8S ribosomal RNA
Rfam family: Eukaryotic small subunit ribosomal RNA (bases 1-135)
Source: RNAcentral